GGGUCUAGUACUCUACUCUGAGCCAACCUAGCUACCCCAGUAGAAAACUCUGGAAAGAAAAUGGACAAGUUACAAAGGGUGGACAGCUAUGGAUGUGGACAGGAAUCCAUAUUGUUGAAGGGAAUUGACAAGGAGGAAGAUGGGAGAGAGGAAAAUGUGAAGAUGAGAAUAUGGACCUAAAAUAAGAUACAACUGAAAUUUUGUAAAGAUAACAAACCUGCCCAGGUACUCACUUAUUCAAGAACCUCCAGUGAUUCCUUAUUGUCUUCAGGGUAAAAUAAAA
Molecule: long non-coding RNA, 283 nt
Filed under: Monodelphis domestica (gray short-tailed opossum)
Lineage: Eukaryota; Metazoa; Chordata; Mammalia; Didelphimorphia; Didelphidae
Description: lncRNA (ENSMODG00000032081.2)
Source: RNAcentral